CCCUUAGAUGUUCUGGGCCGCACGCGCGCUACACUGAAGGGAUCAGCGUGUUUUCCCUUCCCGAGAGGGACGGGUAACCCGCUAAACCCCCUUCGUGGUAGGGAUCGGAGCUUGCAAUUGUUCUCCGUGAACCAGGAAUUCCCAGUAAGCGCAAGUCAUAAGCUUGCGUUGAUUACGUCCCUGCCCUUUGUACACACCGCCCGUCGCUACUACCGAUUGAACGUUUUAGUGAGGUAUUUGGACUGGGCCUUGGGAGGUUUCGGCCUCCCUUGUUGCUCGGAAAGACUCCCAAACUUGAGCGUUUAGAGGAAGUAAAAGUCGUAACA
Molecule: ribosomal RNA, 326 nt
Filed under: uncultured eukaryote
Lineage: Eukaryota
Description: partial 18S ribosomal RNA
Rfam family: Eukaryotic small subunit ribosomal RNA
Source: RNAcentral